Molecule: ribosomal RNA, 222 nt
Filed under: uncultured bacterium
Lineage: Bacteria
Description: partial 16S ribosomal RNA
Rfam family: Bacterial small subunit ribosomal RNA
Source: RNAcentral
AACACGUAGUUAACUUGCCCUCAAAUGGGGAAUAGCCUGUCGAAAGAUGGAUUAAUACCGCAUAAGACCACAGUUCCUGCGGGGACAGUGGUAAAAGAUUUAUCGCUUGAGGAUAGGACUGCGUCCGAUUAGCUUGAUGGUGAGGUAAAGGCUCACCAUGGCUCCGAUCGGUAGCUGGUUUGAGAAGAUGAUCAGCCACACUGGAACUGAGACACGGUCCAG